Poecilia latipinna (sailfin molly) is the source of this 2798-nucleotide non-coding RNA. The record is from the annotation of a RefSeq genome assembly. Lineage: Eukaryota; Metazoa; Chordata; Actinopteri; Cyprinodontiformes; Poeciliidae.
AUGAAGGUGAAGCACUGUGAUGCUUUCGACUACUGGGGUAGCGGAACUAAAGUCACCGUUUCUUCAGGCAUUGCACCAAGUUUAUUUCCUGUGGUUCAGUGUAGCCCUGCACUUGGAGACAAGCUGACCGUUGGCUGUCUUGUACAUAAUUUCAACCCGAUGAGUGCAAUUACGUGGACUGAUGCGGCAGGAACGGCACUGCCAACUUCAGUCCAAUAUCCUCCAGUUACAGGAAACAACAUGCAUGUUGGAUUUAGUUCCAUUGAAGUAAAAAAAUCUGACUGGGAUUCUUGGAAGUCUUUUACGUGUCUUGUGGAUAAUCAAAGUAUAAAAGUGGAAAACAAACCAUCACCUCCAAAAGUUAGUUUGCUGAAAGAACCAAGAGGAACCAGCCAGGUCCUCUUUUGUACCGCGGAGGACUUCCUCCCAAUAAACAUCUCAGUGAAAUGGAAAAAGAAUGGACAAGAUAUAUCUGCUAAAGACUGGGACCCAAAAUUGAAUGGAGGGACAUAUUCAACCGUCAGUCUUCUUGAGGUUUCAAAUACAGACUGGAACAGUGGGGCUGUUUACUCUUGCGAGGUGUCACACAUGCAAAAUCUCUACAUCAAGAAAGCAUCCAAAGCUGUUGUCACAGUGAACCUAAAACAACCAAGUCCGAAGGAAAUCUUCAUCAACAAACAGGCAAAGUUGGAGUGUGUUGUUGCUGGACAAGACAGAGAAAUUAUACAGAAGACUCAGAUCAGAUGGGAGAUUGAGGGACCAAACCAGAGAAACAGUACCACAGAAGAAAUUAAGUCUGAAGGUGCCAUACACAAAAAAACAAGCACACUAACUCAAAGUUUCUCUGACUGGCUGACUGUUGAGAAAGUGAGGUGUUCUGCAGAAGGAGAGCAUGUGUCACCAGUUACCGAAGAGAUAAUUGUUCAAAAAGGAGAUGGAAAAGAGCCAACGGUGACUCUCCACAUCCUCCCUGACGAGUUUAUUGUGGAUAAAGUCACUCUCAUAUGUUUGGUUUCCAGUUCCGUGAAGCAGGAUUUCUACAUCGCCUGGUCAGAAUAUGUUGGGCAAAACAAUGGAGUCUACACUGAUGGGGUAACAUUUCUCCCACAGAAGCAUGAUGAUCAUUACAGAGUUACAAGUCUGUACACCACCACCAAGAAAAAGUGGGAGAGUAAAUACACGUUUGUGUGCAACGUCUGGCCUGCUGGUAGAAGCGAUAAGAUUAAUCCCACACAAGUGUCUAAUGCCGGAGAUUUUUCAAAUAUGACAGUCUCUUGCAUUUUGGAAGCUGAAGAUGACUAUAGCAGCUUGUGGUCAGCAACCUCCUUCUUCAUAUUCCUCUUCAUAUUCUCUCUCUCCUAUAAUGUGAUUUUCAGCUUACAUCAGAUGAAGAAACUGAAGAACCUCAUGGCAAAUGCCUCUCCAUCUCUGUUUCCACUAACUCCAUGUGAUCCUGGGAGUGGAGAUACGGUCACUCUUGGCUGUCUGGCCCAGGACUUCUUUCCCAAAAGUGCUACAUUCCAGUGGACCAGUACCAGUAACAGUAACACUCAAGUGGAUUCUCAACAGUUUAUUUUUCCUCAAACAAAUGUCAACAAAUUCACUGGAGUCAGUGUGAUCAGUGUGCCAAGAUCAAAGGCUUUGUCCUACAAUUGUUCUCUGACUCAUCCGGCAGGAAACAAAAAUGUGCCAGUGAAAUAUGCUUUCUCUCCUCCCAGUGUAACGUUGCUCUCAGAGUCAGACGGAGAGAAACAGGUCUUGGUCUGUUCCAUUGAAAACUUUGCCCCCAAAAAAGUGUCAAUCAGUUGGAAGAAAAACAACAACAAUGUGGAUAACGUCAAAAGUUUUGAACCCAUGAAAGAUGGAGAUGUUUAUUCUGCUGCCAGCAUCUUCAAAGUCAACAAAACAGAAUGGGACAGUAAGGCUGUUUACACCUGUGACGUGACUCACGCAGGACAAAAUUACAUAAAAAAGGCCUCAAAAGCAUCUUUAACAGUGACACUGAACCCUCCGAAUCCUAAAGCAAUGUUUGUCAAUAAACGAGCAGAGCUAAAAUGUGUAGUUACUGGACCGGAUAGCAGCAUCGUAUCUAAAACUAAAAUCCAGUGGUACAUUGAUGAACAGCCAGUGACCAAUAAUAUCAGCGAAAGCAAUGAUGCACAAACAAAAACCAGCACAUUGAUUCAACACUUUGAUGAUUGGAAGAAAGUUAAAACAGUGAAGUGUUCUGCCACCAGAGAAGGCAUGGCACCAAUUACCAAGAGUCUUAAUGUCAACAGAGGUAAGGAAAUGCCCACCAUUGAAGUCCUCACCCCUUCAACCAUCACAGGUGAUUCUGUCACUCUGGUGUGUCUGGUAACCAGUACAGAGCUGCAAGAUUACUACAUCGUUUGGUCAGAAGCUUCUGGACAUGAUAUUGGAACAUACCAUGAUGGCCUCAACUUGCCCCCACAGAAGAUCAACAGUGUUUACCUAGUUUCAAGCUUUUACACCAUCAGCAAGGAUAAAUGGAGCAAAAACAAGUUCAGCUGCAAUGUUUGGCCUGCUGGCAGCGAUGAAAAAAUGAAACCUCAUGAUGUGUCGAGUUUCUCGGACUCAAAUGUGACAAUUGCCUUAAGUUGCAUAGAUAAUCUCUCUGAAGGAGAUGACUUCAACGGCUUGUGGUCCACCACCUCUUCCUUCGUCUUCCUCUUCAUCUUCUCUCUCACCUAUAACAUGAUUUUCAUCCUGGUUCAGGUAAACAUGAAGAGGUUUUCUCUACAUUUACUUCAUUAUGAGUAAAAUGGAUCCAUACUCAC